UACGGGGGGGGCAAGCGUUGUUCGGAAUUACUGGGCGUAAAGGGCUCGUAGGCGGCCAACUAAGUCCGACGUGAAAUCCCCAGGCUUAACCUGGGAACUGCGUCCGAUACUGGACGGCUUGAGUUUGGGAGAGGGAUGCGGAAUUCCAGGUGUAGCGGUGAAAUGCGUAGAGAUCCGGAGGAACACCGAAGGCGAAGGCAGUGUCCUGGCGCGUAACUGACGCUGAGGUGCGAAAGCCAGGGGAGCGAACGGG
Molecule: ribosomal RNA, 253 nt
Filed under: uncultured bacterium
Lineage: Bacteria
Description: partial 16S ribosomal RNA
Rfam family: Bacterial small subunit ribosomal RNA
Source: RNAcentral